UUAAAGUUGCUGUGAUAAAAACGCUCGUAGUUGAAUUAAAAUGUGAUUUUAUACAUUUUGAAGACUUUACAUUAAGUGAAGUUUCUAGAAAUGUUAAAUUAAAAUCAAAGAAGGAGACAAUUCAAGUAAUUGAGUUGUCAUUACUUUGAAUAAAAUAAGGUGUUUAAAGCAAAACAUUAUGUUAAUGAAUAUUCAAGCAUGGGACAAUGCUGAGGAGAUGUCAAUUAGACAUUUCGAGAGAAGGAUUAAAAGGAACAAUUGGGGUGAUUCAGAAAAUAACGGGAGAGGAGAAAAUCCUUGAUCGCUAU
Molecule: ribosomal RNA, 308 nt
Filed under: Entamoeba dispar
Lineage: Eukaryota; Evosea; Mastigamoebida; Endamoebidae
Description: partial small subunit ribosomal RNA
Rfam family: Eukaryotic small subunit ribosomal RNA
Source: RNAcentral